AGCGAACGCUGGCGGCAGGCUUAACACAUGCAAGUCGAGCGCCCCGCAAGGGGAGCGGCAGACGGGUGAGUAACACGUGGGAACGUACCUUUUGGUUCGGAACAACCCAGGGAAACUUGGGCUAAUACCGGAUAAGCCCUUACGGGGAAAGAUUUAUCGCCAAAAGAUCGGCCCGCGUCUGAUUAGCUAGUUGGUGGGGUAAUGGCCCACCAAGGCUACGAUCAGUAGCUGGUCUGAGAGGAUGAUCAGCCACAUUGGGACUGAGACACGGCCCAAACUCCUACGGGAGGCAGCAGUGGGGAAUAUUGGACAAUGGGGGAAACCCUGAUCCAGCCAUGCCGCGUGAGUGACGAAGGCCUUAGGGUUGUAAAGCUCUUUUAGCAGGGAAGAUAAUGACGGUACCUGCAGAAAAAGCCCCGGCUAACUUCGUGCCAGCCGCCGCGGUAA
RNAcentral lists this ribosomal RNA (447 nucleotides) under uncultured bacterium. RNAcentral describes it as "partial 16S ribosomal RNA". It matches the Rfam family "Bacterial small subunit ribosomal RNA", at positions 29 to 523 of the family's 1533-position model. The record is from RNAcentral.